UGCCUACGGGAGGCAGCAGUGGGGGAUAUUGCACAAUGGGGGGAACCCUGAUGCAGCGACGCCGCGCGGGUGAAAAAGCGCCUCGGCGCGUAAAGCCCUGUCAGCAGGGAAGAAAAUGACGGUACCUGAAGAAGAAGCCCCGGCUACCUACGUGCCAGCAGCCGCGGUAAUACGUAGGGGGCAAGCGUUAUCCGGAUUUACUGGGUGUAAAGGGGGCGCAGACGGCGAUGCAAGCCAGGAGUGACAGCCCGGGGCCCAACCCCGGGACUGAUCUUGGUACUGCGUGGCUGGAG
Molecule: ribosomal RNA, 293 nt
Filed under: uncultured bacterium
Lineage: Bacteria
Description: partial 16S ribosomal RNA
Rfam family: Bacterial small subunit ribosomal RNA
Source: RNAcentral